UUAGGUCUACCUGUUUAUGACGAUUGAGCUUCUGAAGAAACUCACCUCUCUCCUUCGCGAAAUCACAGACGUGAAACGGCGGCGGUAAUGUUCUCUUCUCCGAUCAAUUUCUGAUCUCCACCGUGAACGACGCUACAAAUCGACAGCAUCAACUCUCAUCAUCAGUUCCCUCGCCUCUCUUCGACGUCGCUCCUCCCUUGAUCCAUCUCUCCGUCCAUCUCAACCUCCAUUCGAGCUUGAUCGGAGAUACUCAGAUUUGAAGACGUCGGCAACGAAGCUUUGAGACCUUGAAGAUUGUUGCUUCGAUGGUGUUUUAGAAAGAGUUGAGAAGAAGAUUUGCAGAGAAUCGAAGGUGGCGAUUUUGCAGAAUAUUGAGAUGAUGAUGAAUUCCGAGAGAGCAUUGAUGGUGAAGAAAAUCGAAGAGUGGAGUUGAGAAGGAAGAAAAGAUGAAGGUGUGAAGGAGAUUGAAGGUGGUGAAAGAAAGAUGAGGAUGAAGAUGAAGGUGAAUGAGAGUGGUGGAGGAGAUUGAAGAUGGAUGAUUGAAGAUGAAGGUGAAUGAGAGUGGUGGAGGAGAUUGAAGAUGGAUGAUUGAAGAUGGUGAAUUUUUGUGUGAAAAAAUGGCGUGAAGGUUGAAUCAGUGAGAGAGGUUCAGUUAUAUAGGUUGAAGAGGGAAGUUGAAUUCAGUUAGAGGGAGGUGAUUCUGAGCCUUUGGAUUGGUGAAGUUUGUUAGAGAUUGAGUGGUGCAGAUUGAAUCAGUUAGGAGUUUGAGUUGUGAGCUGGCAAAUUCGGUUAGGAAUUGGUUAUUGAUGUUACAAAACGGUUGAGAUUAGUUAUAGUUCUGAUUCAGUUAUUUAGAUUAGUUAGGAUGGUUAUGAAUCUGUUAGAGAUUUGGUUCAGGUUAGUGAUAGAAAUUAGUUAUGGGUUUCUGAAAUUCUGUUUUUGGUUUUUGCAACUAUUAUGUUAGUUACAAAGUGAUAUUGAUGGUGGUUAGUUCUGUUAUGGGCAGUUUGGGUUGGUUAAGGGGAAGUUUGAAAGUUAGAAAUUAGUUACUUGUAAUGAGAAUGAGGUUAGUGACUUGGUUCUUGGACUGUGUUUGUUUGGCAGUUAGUAGAUAGUUAGGUGGUUUAGAAAUUCUGUUAGGAUGUUAGAAAUAUGGUUAAUGACAGUUUGAAAUCGGAUCAGUUAUGAAUCAAUGGGGGCUAUUAGUUAGGUUUUGAAAAAGUCAGUUGGAGGUAGGUUGACAUGGUUAGUUGCUAGAAAUUUGUUGCUGUUUAAAUUGUGGCUGCUAGUGAAAGUUAGUGAAACUGGCUGUUAUACAUAGUGUGUUUAUGCCUCUGGUUUUGUUAUGAAACGGUUUGCAAGGCUGCAAAUAGAAAUCAAUAUGGAUGUGUGUGUAUUUGGUUUUAUUUCUUGAUUUUCUUGAAUGAGCUUGGUGUGAGAAUUGGCAGGUUUGGUUUGAUGUGAACUGAGCUUUUUAUUGUUGUAGGUUGCAGGUUUGGAAAAGUGCAGCAAUUGAAGGUUGAUGUGUGGCUGUAGUGUGCAGGGUGGCUGAAGUACUGUUGUGAAGUGAGGUUAGAAAUUGAUGCCGACAACAUACUUUAAAGAAUGGUCAGAGAUUACAAAGUGGAGUUUGGAGCAGUGAUUGGAAGGUUUAGGAACAAAGGAUCUCAUGUAUAGAAGCAAUGUAGUAGCAUGAUAUUUAGAUUUCUAGAUGUGUAUUCUUUGUGUAAUAUGACUUGGACCAUAAUGUAAUGAAUUUUUGAAUUUGUACUGAA
This is a long non-coding RNA of Vicia villosa (hairy vetch), 1775 nucleotides long. RefSeq lists it as uncharacterized. The transcript has 3 exons. The record is from RefSeq and is a predicted model, not a curated record. NCBI's taxonomy places the organism in Eukaryota, Viridiplantae, Streptophyta, Magnoliopsida, Fabales, Fabaceae.